RNAcentral lists this ribosomal RNA (253 nucleotides) under uncultured bacterium. RNAcentral describes it as "partial 16S ribosomal RNA". It matches the Rfam family "Bacterial small subunit ribosomal RNA", at positions 524 to 776 of the family's 1533-position model. The record is from RNAcentral.
UACAGAGACCCCGAGCAUUAUCCGGAAUUACUGGGCGUAAAGCGCGCGCAGCCGGUUGCGUUAGUCUGGUGUUAAACCCUCGGGCCCAACCCGAGGACUGCAUUGGAAACGGCGCACCUUGAGUAGAUGAGAGGAAGGCAGAACGUAUAGUGUAGGGGUGAAAUCCACUGAUAUUAUACGGAAUACCAAAAGCGAAGGCAGCCUUCUAGCGUCUUACUGACGGUCAAUCGCGAAAGCGUGGGGAUCAAAAAGG